This is a long non-coding RNA of Cydia strobilella, 246 nucleotides long. RefSeq lists it as uncharacterized. The record is from RefSeq and is a predicted model, not a curated record. The transcript has 4 exons. NCBI's taxonomy places the organism in Eukaryota, Metazoa, Arthropoda, Insecta, Lepidoptera, Tortricidae.
AGUGGCAGCAAAUCGGAAGAAGAGCAAAAAAAAACAAUAGAACGGCAACGCAAUUUUUCAGGAUCAGAUGAAGAAAAUUCAGACUCAGGUUUAGAUAGAUCUGAUGCCGAAGUUGAUUCUGGACCAAAAAUUACAAGAGGUAUAUUACGCGACCAAGUUGCCAAUGGGGAAGCUUCGGAUGAGCGGCGCAAAAAACGUCAUGCAUUUUUUUACCGUGCUGAUAAACCAGUGCGCUGGGAAGAAUAG